UAAAAUAAUUAAGGGCACACAAAGGAUGCCUAGGUAGUAAGAGCCGAUGAAGGACGUGGUAAGCUGCGAUAAGCCUAGAUAAGUUGCAAUCGAACGUAAGAGUCUAGGAUUUCCGAAUGGAGCAAUCUAUUAAGAUGGAGUCUUAAUACGAAAGAGGGAACCGCGUGAACUGAAACAUCUAAGUAACGCGAGGAAAAGAAAGUAAAAACGAUACCCAAAGUAGCGGCGAGCGAAAUGGGUCAAGCCUAAACCUUAAAUAUGUCAAGGAUACAGCCGUUGUAUUUAGGGGGUUGAGGGACAGAGUAGUGAAGAACUGUAAGAUAUUCAAUAUAGUGUAUUGAUGAAUUGGAAUUGUCUGGAAAGGCGAACCGUAGAAGGUGAAAGUCCUGUACAAGUAAAUCCUUACACAUAUAACUCUGCUCCCAAGUAACAUGGAACACGAGGAAUUCUGUGUGAAUCUGUGAGGACCAUAUCUCAUAAGGCUAAAUACUCUUACUAACCGAUAGCGCAUAGUACCGUGAGGGAAAGGUGAAAAGAACCCCUGGAGGGGAGUGAAAUAGAACCUGAAAUUGUGUGCUUACAAGCGGUCAGAGCCAGCAAUGGUGAUGGCGUGCCUUUUGGAGAAUGAUCCUGCGAGUUACGUUAAACGGCGAGGUUAAGUAUAACGGAGCCGAAGGGAAACCAAGUCUUAAUAGGGCGAUUUAGUCGUUUGGCGUAGACGCGAAACCUGGUGAUCUAAACCUGUCCAGGAUGAAGCUGUGGUAAGACACAGUGGAGGUCCUAACCCACCGCCGUUGAAAAGUUGGGGGAUGAGGUAGGUUUAGGGGUGAAAAGCCAAUCGAACCAGGAGAUAGCUCGUUCUCUCCGAAAUGCAUCUAGGUGCAGCCUUGAGUGUUCAAUUAUGGGGGUAGAGCACUGAAUGAUCUAGGGGGCAUAUUGCUUACUGAAAUCAAUCAAACUCCGAAUACCAUAAUUUAUAGCUCAGGAGUGAGACUAUGGGAGUUAACUUCCAUUGUCAAAAGGGAAACAACCCAGACCACCAGCUAAGGUCCCUAAUUAUAACUAAGUGGGAAAGGAGGUGGAGAUUCACAAACAACUAGGAGGUUGGCUUAGAAGCAGCCAUACCUUUAAAGAGUGCGUAAUAGCUCACUAGUCGAGAGUCUCUGCGCCGACAAUGUAACGGGGCUAAGUUAUAAACCGAAGCUGUGGAAUCCNNNNNNNNNNNNNNNNNNNNNNNNNNNNNNNNNNNNNNNNNNNNNNNAAAGGGAAACAACCCAGACCACCAGCUAAGGUCCCUAAUUAUAACUAAGUGGGAAAGGAGGUGGAGAUUCACAAACAACUAGGAGGUUGGCUUAGAAGCAGCCAUACCUUUAAAGAGUGCGUAAUAGCUCACUAGUCGAGAGUCUCUGCGCCGACAAUGUAACGGGGCUAAGUUAUAAACCGAAGCUGUGGAAUCCGUAAGGAUUGGUAGGAGAGCGUUCUGUAGGCCGUUGAAGGAGAAGGGUAACCGACUUUGGAGGUAUCAGAAGUGAGAAUGCAGGAAUAAGUAGCGAGAAAGGGGGCGAGAAUCCCCCUCGCCGGAAGACCAAGGUUUUCAGGGUAAAGCUUGUCUUCCCUGAGUAAGCCGGGACCUAAGCCCAGGCUAUAAUGCGUAGGCGAAUGGAAAACAGAUUAAUAUUUCUGUGCCAGUCAUAUAUUGUGAUGGAGGGACGCAGAAGGGUAUGCGCGCGGACGAACGGAAGUGUCCGUAGAAGUAUGUAGGAUGACUUGAUAGGUAAAUCCAUUGAGUUAUAUCUGAGGUAUGAUAUACAGUCGUAAGAUGAAUGCGCAAAUCCCACGCUGCCAAGAAAAGCUUCUAACGUUAAUAUUUGACUGCCCGUACUGUAAACCGACACAGGUGGUCAGGAUGAGAAAUCUAAGGCGGACAGGCUAACUCUCGUUAAGGAACUCUGCAAAAUAACCUCGUAACUUCGGGAGAAGAGGAGCCCUUGGGUGUUAGUAUCCAUGCGUUACAAAGCACUCGAGGGUCGCAGUGAAGAGGCUCAAGCAACUGUUUAACAAAAACACAGGUCUAUGCUAAGCUGGAAGGCGAUGUAUAUGGGCUGACACCUGCCCAGUGCUGGAAGGUUAAGAGGAGGAGUGAGAGCUCCGAAUUGAAGCCCCAGUGAACGGCGGCCGUAACUAUAACGGUCCUAAGGUAGCGAAAUUCCUUGUCGGGUAAGUUCCGACCUGCACGAAUGGUGUAAUGAUUUGAGCGCUGUCUUGACGGGAGGCCUGGUGAAAUUGUAUUACCGGUGAAGAUACCGGUUACCUACAGUAGGACGGAAAGACCCCAUGGAGCUUUACUGUAGCUUGGUAUUGGGUUUUGGCAUUGCAUGUAUAGGAUAGUUGGGAGACUGUGAUGAUAUGGCGCUAGCUGUAUCGGAGUCAUCGGUGGAAUACCAACCAUUCAAUGCUGAAAUUCUAAUCUGUGGUUUGUAGCCACGGAGACAGUGCUAGGUGGGCAGUUUGACUGGGGCGGUCGCCUCCGAAAGAGUAACGGAGGCGUUCAAAGGUUCUCUCAGGUUGGAUGGAAAUCAACCAUAGAGUGCAAUGGCAUAAGAGAGCUUGACUGCAAGACUGACGGGUCGAGCAGAUGCGAAAGCAGGACAUAGUGAUCCGGCGAUUCCGAAUGGAAGGGUCGUCGCUCAACGGAUAAAAGCUACCCUGGGGAUAACAGGCUGAUCCUACCCGAGAGUCCAUAUCGACGGUAGGGUUUGGCACCUCGAUGUCGGCUCAUCGCAUCCUGGGGCUGGAGAAGGUCCCAAGGGUUGGGCUGUUCGCCCAUUAAAGCGGUACGUGAGCUGGGUUCAGAACGUCGUGAGACAGUUCGGUCCCUAUCCACUGUAGGCGUUAGAAUAUUGAGAAGACCUGUCCUUAGUACGAGAGGACCGGGAUGGACAAACCUCUGAUGUACCAGUUGUCACGCCAGUGGCACAGCUGGGUAGUCACGUUUGGAAUAGAUAACCGCUGAAAGCAUCUAAGCGGGAAACUAACUUCAAGAUAAGUAUUCUUUAAGAUACCUUCGAGCCUAGGAGGUUGAUAGGUUGGGGGUGUAAGUGCAGCAAUGCAUUUAGCUGACCAAUACUAAUUAUCGAAGUUUUAAUCUA
This 3149-nucleotide ribosomal RNA is filed under the name metagenome. RNAcentral describes it as "bacterial LSU rRNA". It matches the Rfam family "Bacterial large subunit ribosomal RNA". The record is from RNAcentral.